Molecule: long non-coding RNA, 1248 nt
Filed under: Gossypium barbadense (sea-island cotton)
Lineage: Eukaryota; Viridiplantae; Streptophyta; Magnoliopsida; Malvales; Malvaceae
Description: long non-coding RNA (GBAR_LNC018515)
Source: RNAcentral
GUAUUUGGAAGCAGGGGUUAAUUAAUGACACCUUCUUGCAGUCGGACGCUAUCAAUUUUCUUUGGAUUCUACUUGCUUAGGAAGCCCAUGAAGAUUUUCGGGUUUGGGGUGGGGAGCCUUCGGGGGAGUUUUCAGUUUGCAAUGCCUACAAACUAUUACAAAACAAUUUGAAAAACCCUACUGUUUAUGCAUUACAGACCAGAUCUAGAGCUUUUUACAAAUAUUUGUGGAACCUAAACCUCCCAGGGAAAAUUAAAAUAAAAAUUUGGAGGAUUUCUUGGAACUAUCUACCUACGCUAACUAAUUUCAAGUGUAAGCAGUUGGCCAUUAAUUUCUGUUGCCCUCGGUGUAGAAAUGUGAAGGAAUUCGAUGAAACAUUUGUUUCAACAUUGCCCUACAUCAGUUGAAGUUUGGUCAGAACUAAAUUGUUUGCAAUUUUUGAACAAUCAGGAUAUGGAGUUUGCAUAUUGGCUUACCUGGGUUUUUGAGACUUGUUCCAACCACUAGAGGAAGUUGUUCUGUUGUGCACUUUGGGCUAUCUAGAAAGACAGAAACAGGGGGAUCCGUGAUAGAAAACUUAUUACUGGCAAGUACAGUGUAAUAUUUGUUCUUAUCUAUUUAGAUGAACUCAAAAGUUUAGAGGAAAAUACCUGCACUAAGAAGAGGGAGGCUGUGAGUUGGAACGUCCCUUCAAGAUCUGUCAUCAAAAUCAACUUUGAUAGUGCUUUUGAUGGUAGAAUUUUUCGAUUGGUGUCAAGUAUGGUCACUAGGGAUGAAAGAGUUGUUAUGAUGUUCACUCGUACGAGUUUCCAUGAAGGUGUAGUUUUUGCUUUUGCUGCUAAAGCUUUAGCUUGUCAACUUCCAGUGAGAACGGGUUUUGAUAAAGGGUGGGGCUAAGUUAUUAUCGAAGGGGACUUAUUAACAACAGUAAAGAGAUGUAAGUCUCUGAAACUCGAUAAAUCUCAGAUUGGAGUUUUCAUAAGAAAUAUUCAAUAGAUGAAGAGAAAUUUCCAAGGAAUCAAUUUCAAUCAUGUUCCUAGAUCAGCAAACAAAUAACUUAUGCUUUGGCAACAGAAAUGCUGAAAAGGGGGAAUUCGGUUUACUUGGAAGGGAACGCAACCUUGCUUGUGGAUCCAAUAACAACAAUGGGGAGACCAACAGAACCAAAUUGAUGGAAAAGGGAAGUUUGGAAAAUGGGGGAAAGGAGUUUUAUCUUUGAAGGUUUUAUCUGCUUUUUUUUGGAGGCCU